This 1530-nucleotide ribosomal RNA is filed under the name Escherichia coli BIDMC 20B. Its description in RNAcentral is "bacterial SSU rRNA". It matches the Rfam family "Bacterial small subunit ribosomal RNA". Lineage: Bacteria; Pseudomonadati; Pseudomonadota; Gammaproteobacteria; Enterobacterales; Enterobacteriaceae. The record is from RNAcentral.
AGAGUUUGAUCAUGGCUCAGAUUGAACGCUGGCGGCAGGCCUAACACAUGCAAGUCGAACGGUAACAGGAAGCAGCUUGCUGCUUUGCUGACGAGUGGCGGACGGGUGAGUAAUGUCUGGGAAACUGCCUGAUGGAGGGGGAUAACUACUGGAAACGGUAGCUAAUACCGCAUAACGUCGCAAGACCAAAGAGGGGGACCUUAGGGCCUCUUGCCAUCGGAUGUGCCCAGAUGGGAUUAGCUAGUAGGUGGGGUAAUGGCUCACCUAGGCGACGAUCCCUAGCUGGUCUGAGAGGAUGACCAGCCACACUGGAACUGAGACACGGUCCAGACUCCUACGGGAGGCAGCAGUGGGGAAUAUUGCACAAUGGGCGCAAGCCUGAUGCAGCCAUGCCGCGUGUAUGAAGAAGGCCUUCGGGUUGUAAAGUACUUUCAGCGGGGAGGAAGGGAGUAAAGUUAAUACCUUUGCUCAUUGACGUUACCCGCAGAAGAAGCACCGGCUAACUCCGUGCCAGCAGCCGCGGUAAUACGGAGGGUGCAAGCGUUAAUCGGAAUUACUGGGCGUAAAGCGCACGCAGGCGGUUUGUUAAGUCAGAUGUGAAAUCCCCGGGCUCAACCUGGGAACUGCAUCUGAUACUGGCAAGCUUGAGUCUCGUAGAGGGGGGUAGAAUUCCAGGUGUAGCGGUGAAAUGCGUAGAGAUCUGGAGGAAUACCGGUGGCGAAGGCGGCCCCCUGGACGAAGACUGACGCUCAGGUGCGAAAGCGUGGGGAGCAAACAGGAUUAGAUACCCUGGUAGUCCACGCCGUAAACGAUGUCGACUUGGAGGUUGUGCCCUUGAGGCGUGGCUUCCGGAGCUAACGUGUUAAGUCGACCGCCUGGGGAGUACGGCCGCAAGGUUAAAACUCAAAUGAAUUGACGGGGGCCCGCACAAGCGGUGGAGCAUGUGGUUUAAUUCGAUGCAACGCGAAGAACCUUACCUGGUCUUGACAUCCACGGAAGUUUUCAGAGAUGAGAAUGUGCCUUCGGGAACCGUGAGACAGGUGCUGCAUGGCUGUCGUCAGCUCGUGUUGUGAAAUGUUGGGUUAAGUCCCGCAACGAGCGCAACCCUUAUCCUUUGUUGCCAGCGGUCCGGCCGGGAACUCAAAGGAGACUGCCAGUGAUAAACUGGAGGAAGGUGGGGAUGACGUCAAGUCAUCAUGGCCCUUACGACCAGGGCUACACACGUGCUACAAUGGCGCAUACAAAGAGAAGCGACCUCGCGAGAGCAAGCGGACCUCAUAAAGUGCGUCGUAGUCCGGAUUGGAGUCUGCAACUCGACUCCAUGAAGUCGGAAUCGCUAGUAAUCGUGGAUCAGAAUGCCACGGUGAAUACGUUCCCGGGCCUUGUACACACCGCCCGUCACACCAUGGGAGUGGGUUGCAAAAGAAGUAGGUAGCUUAACCUUCGGGAGGGCGCUUACCACUUUGUGAUUCAUGACUGGGGUGAAGUCGUAACAAGGUAACCGUAGGGGAACCUGCGGUUGGAUCACCU